This 543-nucleotide ribosomal RNA is filed under the name uncultured bacterium. RNAcentral's name for it is "bacterial SSU rRNA". It matches the Rfam family "Bacterial small subunit ribosomal RNA", at positions 355 to 914 of the family's 1533-position model. The record is from RNAcentral.
UGGGGAAUCUUGGACAAUGGGGGCAACCCUGAUCCAGCCAUGCCGCGUGAGUGAUGAAGGCCUUAGGGUCGUAAAGCUCUUUCGCCUGUGAAGAUAAUGACGGUAGCAGGUAAAGAAACCCCGGCUAACUCCGUGCCAGCAGCCGCGGUAAUACGGAGGGGGUUAGCGUUGUUCGGAAUUACUGGGCGUAAAGCGCACGUAGGCGGACCAGAAAGUUGGGGGUGAAAUCCCGGGGGCUCAACCCCGGAACUGCCUCCAAAACUAUUGGUCUAGAGUUCGAGAGAGGUGAGUGGAAUUCCAAGUGUAGAGGUGAAAUUCGUAGAUAUUUGGAGGAACACCAGUGGCGAAGGCGGCUCACUGGCUCGAUACUGACGCUGAGGUGCGAAAGUGUGGGGAGCAAACAGGAUUAGAUACCCUGGUAGUCCACACCGUAAAACGAUGAAUGCCAGUCGUCGGGUAGCAUGCUAUUCGGUGACACACCUAACGGAUUAAGCAUUCCGCCUGGGGAGUACGGUCGCAAGAUUAAAACUCAAAUGAAUUGAC